Molecule: ribosomal RNA, 492 nt
Filed under: uncultured bacterium
Lineage: Bacteria
Description: partial 16S ribosomal RNA
Rfam family: Bacterial small subunit ribosomal RNA
Source: RNAcentral
AGUGAACGCUGGCGGUAUGCCUAACACAUGCAAGUCGAACGGCAGCACAGUAAGAGCUUGCUCUUACGGUUGGCGAGUGGCGGACGGGUGAGGAAUACAUCGGAAUCUACUUUUUCGUGGGGGAUAACGUAGGGAAACUUACGCUAAUACCUCAUACGACCUACGGGUGAAAGCAGGGGAUCUUCGGACCUUUCGCGAUUGAAUGAGCCGAUGUCGGAUUAGCUAGUUGGCGGGGUAAAGGCCCACCAAGGCGACGAUCCGUAGCUGGUCUGAGAGGAUGAUCAGCCACACUGGAACUGAGACACGGUCCAGACUCCUACGGGAGGCAGCAGUGGGGAAUAUUGGACAAUGGGCGCAAGCCUGAUCCAGCCAUACCGCGUGGGUGAAGAAGGCCUUCGGGUUGUAAAGCCCUUUUGUUGGGAAAGAAAAGCAGCAGGUUAAUACCCCGCUGUUCUGACGGUACCCAAAGAAUAAGCACCGGCUAACUUCGUG